GACGAACGCUGGCGGCGUGCCUAAUACAUGCAAGUAGGACGCACAGUCUAUACCGUAGCUUGCUACACCAUAGGCUGUGAGUUGCGAACGGGUGAGUAACGCGUAGGUAACCUGCCUAUUAGAGGGGGAUAACUAUUGGAAACGCUAGCUAAUACCGCAUAACAGUAUGUAACACAUGUUAGAUGCUUGAAAGAUGCAAUUGCAUCGCUAGUAGAUGGACCUGCGUUGUAUUAGCUAGUAGGUAGGGUAAUGGCCUACCUAGGCGACGAUACAUAGCCGACCUGAGUGGGUGGUUGGCCGGACUGGGACUGAGACACGGCCCAGACUCCUACGGGAGGCAGCCGUAGGGAAACUGCGGCAAUGGGGGGAACACUGACCGAGCAACGCCGCGUGAGUGAAGAAGAUUUUCGGAUCGGAAAGCUCUGUUGUUAAGGAAGAACGAGUGUGAGAAUGGAAAGUACAGACUGUGACGGUACUUAACCAGAAAGGGACGGCUAACUACGUG
RNAcentral lists this ribosomal RNA (505 nucleotides) under uncultured bacterium. Its description in RNAcentral is "partial 16S ribosomal RNA". It matches the Rfam family "Bacterial small subunit ribosomal RNA", at positions 28 to 507 of the family's 1533-position model. The record is from RNAcentral.